AACGCGAAGAACCUUACCUGGGCUCGAACGGCUUAAGACAAUCCUUGGAAACAGGGACUUCUCGCAAGAGACUUGAGUCGAGGUGCUGCAUGGCUGUCGUCAGCUCGUGUCGUGAGAUGUUGGGUUAAGUCCCGCAACGAGCGCAACCCUUGUCCUGUGUUGCCACCCGCCUCGCAAGGGGCGGAGCACUCUCGGGAGACCGCCAGCGAUAAGCUGGAGGAAGGUGGGGAUGAUGUCAAGUCAUCAUGGCCUUUAUGUCCAGGGCUACACACGUGCUACAAUGGACGGUACAAAGCGCUGCAAACCCGCGAGGGGGAGCUAAUCGCAAAAAACCGUUCUCAGUUCGGAUCGCAGGCUGCAACUCGCCUGCGUGAAGCUGGAAUCGCUAGUAAUGCCGUAUCAGAACGAUGGCGUGAAUACGUUCCCGGGCCUUGUACACACCGCUCGUC
RNAcentral lists this ribosomal RNA (449 nucleotides) under uncultured bacterium. RNAcentral describes it as "bacterial SSU rRNA". It matches the Rfam family "Bacterial small subunit ribosomal RNA", at positions 958 to 1398 of the family's 1533-position model. The record is from RNAcentral.